AAAUAAAACAAACAUCUGAACAGUUAAUAUAAAUAUAUUUUGAAUUAUUCAGAGGCUUUACAAUAUUUGGAAGAAUUACUUCGACAGCGUUACGCCUAACCAACCCGAGUUCAUUUGUAUACAAAAAUAAUUAUAUAGCAGUUACCCGAAAGCAGAUACACGGAAUACAUCGAGUUACAAGGACUGGGUUAUACAAAUCAUUUAUACAUGACUUGAAACAAUUUAUCAAUUAUUUCUAACACCAAUAAAGAAGACAAACAUCAAAACUUACUUUUAAAAUAACAUUGUUACGUAAAAUAAUGAAUUUAAUCAUAUUAAUCCUUUUAUUUGAGUUGUAAGUUGGUAAAAAUCAAAACUGAGGCUUAUGUUACUAAAUACCAUAAUAAUGCCUUUUACAACGAUGCCGAGUUCCAUCCUUAUCUAACUGGUCUAUACCGAAAAGGACGUAUGCUUAAUUAAUACAUUGCACGAAUGUAUUUCUUCAUCCUUAUUGCCUCAUACUUAAAGUCCAUUUUAAAA
Molecule: long non-coding RNA, 519 nt
Organism: Cydia splendana
Lineage: Eukaryota; Metazoa; Arthropoda; Insecta; Lepidoptera; Tortricidae
Exons: 2
Source: RefSeq, a predicted model, not a curated record